RNAcentral lists this ribosomal RNA (301 nucleotides) under uncultured bacterium. RNAcentral describes it as "partial 16S ribosomal RNA". It matches the Rfam family "Bacterial small subunit ribosomal RNA", at positions 509 to 807 of the family's 1533-position model. The record is from RNAcentral.
CAGCAGCCGCGGGAAUACGAAGGGUGCAAGCGUUACUCGGAAUUACUGGGCGUAAAGCGUGCGUAGGUGGUGGUUUAAGUCCGUUGUGAAAGCCCUGGACUCAACCUGGGAAUUGCAGUGGAUACUGGGUCACUAGAGUGUGGUAGAGGAUAGUGGAAUUUCCGGUGUAGCAGUGAAAUGCGUAGAGAUCGGAAGGAACAUCUGUGGCGAAGGCGACUAUCUGGGCCAACACUGACACUGAGGCGCGAAAGCGUGGGGAGCAAACAGGAUUAGAUACCCCCGUAGUCCCUGUCUCUUAUAC